UACGAAGGGGGCUAGCGUUGCUCGGAAUCACUGGGCGUAAAGAGCUCGUAGGCGGUUCCGUAAGUCGGAUGUGAAAAAUCUGGGCUCAACCCAGUGGAGCACCCGAUACUGCGGUGACUCGAGUCCGGUAGGGGAGUGUGGAAUUCCUGGUGUAGCGGUGAAAUGCGCAGAUAUCAGGAGGAACACCGACGGCGAAGGCAGCACUCUGGGCCGGUACUGACGCUGAGGAGCGAAAGCAUGGGGAGCGAACAGG
RNAcentral lists this ribosomal RNA (253 nucleotides) under uncultured bacterium. RNAcentral's name for it is "partial 16S ribosomal RNA". It matches the Rfam family "Bacterial small subunit ribosomal RNA", at positions 524 to 776 of the family's 1533-position model. The record is from RNAcentral.